RNAcentral lists this ribosomal RNA (1448 nucleotides) under uncultured bacterium. RNAcentral's name for it is "16S ribosomal RNA". It matches the Rfam family "Bacterial small subunit ribosomal RNA". The record is from RNAcentral.
GAUGAACGCUGGCGGCGUGCUUAACACAUGCNNGUCGAACGAUGAAGCCCUGCUUGCAGGGUGGAUUAGUGGCGAACGGGUGAGUAACACGUGAGUAACCUGCCCCCGACUCUGGGAUAAGCCCGGGAAACUGGGUCUAAUACCGGAUAUGACUUCCUACUGCAUGGUGGGUUGUUCAAAGAUUUAUCGGUGGGGGAUGGACUCGCGGCCUAUCAGCUUGUUGGUGAGGUAAUGGCUCACCAAGGCGACGACGGGUAGCCGGCCUGAGAGGGUGACCGGCCACGCUGGGACUGAGACACGGCCCAGACUCCUACGGGAGGCAGCAGUGGGGAAUAUUGCACAAUGGGCGGAAGCCUGAUGCAGCGACGCCGCGUGAGGGAUGACGGCCUUCGGGUUGUAAACCUCUUUCAGUAGGGAAGAAGCGAAAGUGACGGUACCUGCAGAAGAAGCGCCGGCUAACUACGUGCCAGCAGCCGCGGUAAUACGUAGGGCGCAAGCGUUAUCCGGAUUUAUUGGGCGUAAAGAGCUCGUAGGCGGUUUGUCGCGUCUGCCGUGAAAGUCCGAGGCUCAACCUCGGAUCUGCGGUGGGUACGGGCAGACUAGAGUGAUGUAGGGGAGACUGGAAUUCCUGGUGUAGCGGUGAAAUGCGCAGAUAUCAGGAGGAACACCGAUGGCGAAGGCAGGUCUCUGGGCAUUUACUGACGCUGAGGAGCGAAAGCAUGGGGAGCGAACAGGAUUAGAUACCCUGGUAGUCCAUGCCGUAAACGUUGGGCAACUAGGUGUGGGGGACAUUCCACGUUUUUCCGCGCCGUAGCUAACGCAUUAAGUGCCCCCGCCUGGGGAGUACGGCCGCAAGGCUAAAACUCAAAGGAAUUGACGGGGGCCCGCACAAGCGGCGGAGCAUGCGGAUUAAUUCGAUGCAACGCGAAGAACCUUACCAAGGCUUGACAUGUGCCAGACCGCUCCAGAGAUGGGGUUUCCCUUCGGGGCUGGUUCACAGGUGGUGCAUGGUUGUCGUCAGCUCGUGUCGUGAGAUGUUGGGUUAAGUCCCGCAACGAGCGCAACCCUCGUUUCAUGUUGCCAGCACGUAGUGGUGGGGACUCAUGGGAGACUGCCGGGGUCAACUCGGAGGAAGGUGGGGAUGACGUCAAAUCAUCAUGCCCCUUAUGUCUUGGGCUUCACGCAUGCUACAAUGGCCGGUACAAUGGGUUGCGAUACUGUGAGGUGGAGCUAAUCCCUAAAAGCCGGUCUCAGUUCGGAUUGGGGUCUGCAACUCGACCCCAUGAAGUCGGAGUCGCUAGUAAUCGCAGAUCAGCAACGCUGCGGUGAAUACGUUCCCGGGCCUUGUACACACCGCCCGUCAAGUCACGAAAGUUGGUAACACCCGAAGCCGAUGGCCUAACCACCUUGUGUGGGGGGAGUCGUCGAAGGUGGGACUGGCGAUUGGG